RNAcentral lists this long non-coding RNA (2083 nucleotides) under Mus musculus (house mouse). RNAcentral describes it as "long non-coding RNA chr7:130686262-130688345". The record is from RNAcentral. Lineage: Eukaryota; Metazoa; Chordata; Mammalia; Rodentia; Muridae.
AUUGUUAGCAUGUUCUGGUUUCUCUCCCUGGGUCUCAACCUCCAGCUUCUGCCACAGCUGCAGUAAAGCAAUGCUUUCCCAGGAAGAGUAGUCUGACAUGAAUCGUGAAGGGCCUCACGCGGGACUAGAGAACACGAGUGAAGGGAGACACCAUAAUCUCCUUCUCAAGGAGAGAGCAAGAGAAACCUUGGGAGGGAUUGAGAAUUCUAGACACGUUGUAGAGUGCUUGCCUAGAAAGUAUAAGGACUCAGGUGUCAUCCCCAGCAGUGAACACACACACACACACACACACACACACACACACACACACACACACACACACAAGCACACAUAUAUUCACACAUGCUCACACACACACACACACACACAUGCACACAUAUAUUCACACAUGCUCACACACACACACACAUGCACAUACAUACACACAUGUACACAAUGCACACAAUAUGCACACACAUGCUCACACAUGUACACACAUUUGUACACCCACAUGCACACACACAAGUGUACACAUACACACACACACACCAAAACAAAAAACAGGAAGAGAGCCUUCUGGAACAACUGAAGCCUCCCGGAAGCUUGCAUUCAGCCUUGCAUAGCUAACCACACUCGUGGGUGAGCAGAUACAUAAAAGACCUGGUGUAAGAGACUCAAUGGCUAUCUUUCAGCUCUCUAGUCAUGGUGGACUGAAGACUCCCAUGGCCCCUAGGGUUUCCUGCAGCAUCUGGCUUAGGGCGCUGUGGUGUGCAAUGCCAUGCAUUGUUAGACAGCAGAGGUACCUGAUGGACACAUAGCUAACUGUGACCAAUGCUCUGAUUGUAAAGACACUUGCUAGUGCAAGAACAGACAAAGUGAAGUCUUCAGGCUGGUGCGGAGCAGACACUUCCAGGAUGUGCCUGGGAUCCGCCUUGAUGUGUCUCCUUGCCAAGAAAAGGUCACACUGAAGCCCCUUUGCCCUUUCUCUAACACAGGAAGGGGCAAGUGACAGAGCAAAGCCAGAUGCUAGACUGGGGACUUUGCCUUUAAGGUAGCAGAUCCCUUUUUGGACGUCAGUGAGGCUGACGUAUUUCUCUCCAAGUCCAGGAUCAAGGAGCCCAGUUCUGUAACAUCUGUGUGGAGAGAGCCCAGCACUGUGCCAUUCCUGACCACAGUCAGACAUCCCCUGUUGCUGCAUUGCCCUGCUGGGCUCCUGCUCACAUGAUGAUGGGGUGCUAGACUUGGGCUGCACAGCUUCCCAACUCUUAGAGUGUUGGGCAACCCCGUGAGUCUGCCAGGAACAGUGCAUAGGCGCCACAGCCGAGGGGCACCCUGCUGUGUGGUGGAGUUGGAUAUGUGGGGGUCCAGGCAGAGGGCCAGCUAUGAGUGGGCAGCCAUAGUGCCAUUGGAAUGGCAGCCUGCAUGAAGGGCCCUUCCUGCAUGGCAGCCCUCGUGGGUCGACCCAGCCUCCUCAUUGCCUACCACGGUAUGAUAGGUAUGGCAGGUUAGGCUAAAAGGAACAAGACCUUGCCCAGCCUGCUCUUUCUUUAACUGUAUUUACAUCCUUAGCACUCUCCCCUGAGCUGUUCUGUGAUCUGACCUACUUUCCUUUCCCCCAUGCUUGGGUAAUUAGCAGCUCAGGGGUCCACAGCAUUGCAGGGUAAGGAAUGCUGUGACGGCAGCUAUCAGCUUCCCCGAAACAUGAAACCAAGACAGGGAAUUUAGGUUUGUUUCUUGGAGUGUCAGAGGCACUUCAGACAUUCUUUUUAAAAAAAUGUUUGAGACGGGAUCUCAUGUAGUCCAGGCUGGUCCUUGAAUUUGAUGUGUAGGUAAAGAUAAUCUACCAUUAUCACACCCAAGUGCCGUGAUGAUUGGCACAAGCUACCUUCUGGUUUAGCUAUCAUUUUUACAAAACUACCAUCGGGGGCUGGAGAAAUGGCUCAGAGGUUAAGAGCACUGUCUGUUCUUCCAGAGGUCCUGAGUUCAAUUCCCAGCAACCACAUGGUGGUUCAUAACUAUCUAAAAUGAGAUCUGGUACCCUCUUCUGGUCUGCAGGCAUACAUGCAGGCAGAAUGCUGUAUACAUGAUAAAUGUAUAUAUCUUU